Daphnia carinata is the source of this 846-nucleotide long non-coding RNA. RefSeq lists it as uncharacterized. The record is from RefSeq and is a predicted model, not a curated record. The transcript has 3 exons. NCBI's taxonomy places the organism in Eukaryota, Metazoa, Arthropoda, Branchiopoda, Diplostraca, Daphniidae.
UUGUGCAACUACAGUUGCCACGUAAUGGUGUUUGUCAUAAUAUCAGCUCUUUAAACAAUAUAACGCCUCAUCUUAAAAUUAAGAUGUACUAGUAUCAUCCCAUUCCCUUACAAACAAAGAAACAUCCUUUUUGAGACUUGCAAUUUCAUUUCUUAGGCCUGGUACAUUUUUGGCUCGUAGAAAACACUUGACAAUCUACACGAAGGUCUCGUUGUCAAUUGUAACUAUUGACACCGAGUAUUGUAUUACAUCUUUCGCUCUUCGACAUUUUAGUCGAAUUCAAGACCAUGUUAGCAACUCAUUGACACUGAAUGAAGCCUUUUGAUGAAGUUUAUUGUCUUGCUAUUUAUGUUUUAAUAUCAGAAGCAUUGUCUCUCGACAGCAAUGUGGUAUAGUAAUGCAAAUGGCAUUACCUUUUCAGGUGUUUGGGAGAGCAAUUUAGUGGAGGUCGAACAUGAAUCUUAAACUUCAAUGCCAAUAUCAAAUCAUCAGUUUGGAAACAUUCUAUCCAUGACAACAUCCCAUAUUUUGGAUGAACAUUUUUUAUUCUGACACCAUUUCGAAUUCUGUGGUGCUCUAAGUUGGUAGUUUUCACAUAUUCAGCUGAUGAUUAUUGAGAGACCUGUUCGAACAUCGAGCUGAGCGAGGAUCCCGAAGACAGCAUUUGAAGAGCAAGAAACUAAUUUUAUAUCUUGUUAAUAAAACGCAGGUUUUUUUAAUUAUUGUGGAUUUUCUCAGGAAAUGAGAUGUUCUAAAUGGAAAGUUUUAGAAAUGCGCAUGACGGUGAGAUAACAAACAUCAAGAAUUUGAUAUUUAUGAAAUAUAUGAAUAGGAUGAUAUGCAAAA